This 65-nucleotide transfer RNA is filed under the name Notostomus gibbosus. RNAcentral's name for it is "tRNA-Asn". Lineage: Eukaryota; Metazoa; Arthropoda; Malacostraca; Decapoda; Oplophoridae. The record is from RNAcentral.
UUAGCUAAAGCCAAAGAGAGGCGUAUCACUGUUAAUGAUAGAAUUGAAAUUAUUUUCUAGCUAAG